UUGGAAACAUAUAUAUACUUAAAGAGUCUCUUCGUUCUUACAUUUAUCCCCUUCCUUCCACAGUCCCUUCAAUUUCUCUGCUACAUUUCAACGUUUUCCUCCAUUACGCUUCCUCUCAAAAUCUCAUCAUCUAGUUCUCCUCUCAAUUUCCUCAUCUCUCGCGCUAUGAAUCACGCUGUCAACGACCGCGAUGAGCUCCUGUGGCUCCAGGAGGAGCAGCGGUGGUUUCAUGAAAAGGAACAGUGGAUCCCCGAAGAGCAGCGUUGAGCCAGACAACGCGAGUUGCUUCUGCAGGAAAUUGCUGAGGUUAAGCUGCAAAUUCAAGCGUUAGAACUCCGAAAUUCCGUAUGAGGAGGGACGGUUUCGUGUCGGAGACUUUUGUGAAUAUCGCCGGCCUGUUGCAUGUCUUGAAGGAGAAGAAUCUGAUGCCGAGACCGGCGGCUGAUGGUGGAGUCGCAUUUUGUUGGAUGAGAGUACUCGUGAAGAGGAUGCGGAGAUAGAGAAGAAGGCAAUUGUUGAAGAAGUUGUUAAGUUUUCCGACGCAAGUAAGACCGAGAAAGAGGGAAAAAUGAGAGGAAGUCCUUGAGAAUUGGUUCGGAAGGAGCGGAAGUCCUAGCGCCGCAGGUCUGCUCGCCAUUCGCAUUUCUUCUAUCUAAUAUUAGAAGGCGAGUCUUAAGAUUGAACUUGCUGAUAGACGUUGUGCGUCUGAAGCCUACUCCCUGAAAGAAUAGUCUUAAAGAUGAAUAUAGUCGAUCGAACUCUAUGGCAGAUGUUGAGAUAUAUGUUUGGUUCUGUGAAAUUCAGUUGAAUCGAGUCUCUAUCUUGUGCACUUUUGGAAGCAUUGCGUAGGCUAGGAUUUUACUCCGGUGAAGAAUACAUGGAAUUUUCUAGUUUCUGCAGUGGAACUGAGCGUGCUGUUAAAGACUUGGCAGGCCGCCUCAGGCUUCCGCGAAGAGAAUCUAACUGAGAGUCCUGGAUCAGAUGCCAAAACAGAUGAAAAAGGGAAUAUUCCAACCGAUCAGGAAGUAUGUUUUAGAACUUUUUAUUCCAUAUAUCUAAUGUUGAAUCAGAAUCAGGUGACAGAUCUCCUUGGAGUUCUCUUUGCAAGUAUUUCUGGUUGAUCGAAGUAUCUGGUAUUUGGUGUUUUCUGUUCAUAUGCUCAAUGGCAACUGUCUGUCUUGUACGAUUUAGUUGAAGAAUACAUCUGAUACUUUGCCAAAGCAAUGUGUUGCGUAGGAACAUUCCAACAUAUUUUUCACUUGCGA
Molecule: long non-coding RNA, 1265 nt
Organism: Cucurbita maxima (winter squash)
Lineage: Eukaryota; Viridiplantae; Streptophyta; Magnoliopsida; Cucurbitales; Cucurbitaceae
Exons: 4
Source: RefSeq, a predicted model, not a curated record